This is a long non-coding RNA of Alligator sinensis (Chinese alligator), 634 nucleotides long. RefSeq lists it as uncharacterized. The record is from RefSeq and is a predicted model, not a curated record. NCBI's taxonomy places the organism in Eukaryota, Metazoa, Chordata, Crocodylia, Alligatoridae. The transcript has 2 exons.
CCCGCCUCCGAGUCGGGUGAGGGAUGGAUGCCGAAACUGCUAGCGCGGGCAAUUAUUCUGCACCUCGCUACCUUCGCUCGUUACGCCGCGCCGCGAAACCAAUUACGCUGUAACAACUGCAAUAAGCUGCCGGUCCUGCUCGGAUGCGCAGGGGAGCGCGCGGCGGGGAGACAGGGGUGCGCAGAAGACGACCUUAUUACCGGUCUUCCCCGUCUCGGGUUCCCGUGACUCUGUGACAGCCAGAACACGCCAGUGCCGGCAGGCCCCGGCACCGGGACGCUAAUAAUUUCAGUCAUGUCUGUCUCGCAGCAUUUGGAAAUAUAUUAAUCUUUCUUACACCUCCAGUCAGAACCUUCAGGCCACCCUAUAAAUCCAGCAGUUUGAAAAAGGGAAAAAAGAACAGGCAGGACAUCCGUCAAGGAAGCUUAUUAAAUAUCUCUGCUGAUUAAUCUUAUUGACGAGGUGAACCCCCGUAAUUUUCUCCGCAGCGACUUGAACGCGGAAAGAGCUAUGGGCCUGCUACUUCCAGCCGAGGUGACUGCUGCAACUAACAAUUAAGUAAUGAACAGAUAAUAGCGUUACUGUUAACCGUAAUAAGUGAAGCCCAGAGUCAUGAGCCGAUGGUUUCAAUAAA